RNAcentral lists this ribosomal RNA (460 nucleotides) under uncultured bacterium. Its description in RNAcentral is "partial 16S ribosomal RNA". It matches the Rfam family "Bacterial small subunit ribosomal RNA", at positions 338 to 795 of the family's 1533-position model. The record is from RNAcentral.
CCUACGGGAGGCAGCAGUGAGGAAUAUUGGUCAAUGGACGAGAGUCUGAACCAGCCAAGUAGCGUGAAGGAUGACUGCCCUAUGGGUUGUAAACUUCUUUUAUAAAGGAAUAAAACGAGGCACGUGUGCCUUUUUGCAUGUACUUUAUGAAUAAGGAUCGGCUAACUCCGUGCCAGCAGCCGCGGUAAUACGGAGGAUCCGAGCGUUAUCCGGAUUUAUUGGGUUUACAGGGAGCGUAGAUGGGUUGUUAAGUCAGUUGUGAAAGUUUGCGGCUCAACCGUAAACUUUCAAUUGAUACUGGCAGUCGUGAGUACAGUUGAGGUAGGCGGAAUUCGUGGUGUAGCGGUGAAAUGCUGAGAUAUCACGAAGAACCCCGAUUGCGAAGGCAGCUUACUAAACUGUGACUGACAUUGAUGCUCGAAAGUGUGGGUAUCAAACAGGAUUAGAUACCCCAGUAGUC